Long non-coding RNA from Oryzias melastigma (Indian medaka), 1007 nucleotides. RefSeq lists it as uncharacterized. The transcript has 2 exons. NCBI's taxonomy places the organism in Eukaryota, Metazoa, Chordata, Actinopteri, Beloniformes, Adrianichthyidae. The record is from RefSeq and is a predicted model, not a curated record.
CAAAAAUGUCCUUAGGGCUUGCGUAUAUAUAGCAAUACUUCAGGAUAUGGCAACUUUUAUUUCUCCGACUUCUGUUGUUGUAACUGUUUUGGACAACGCAUUGGCAACAUCCUCUCUGCUUUAAAAUCUAAACUGUCAAGGGGAAGCUGUCCCGGUCCCGGUUUGUCUGGCAUCCAUGUCCUCCGGGGCCGUCCACAUCUCCAGUUUGACGUGUUUGCGAUACGGACAGGGACUCCUCUUCACUGCUUGCUCGGCCCUGGUGGGAAGAGAAAGCAGAGACGGGAAGAAGGUGUUAGACCGUGAUGGCUAAUAAAUCACAAUUGUUUAUUUGUGAGACACAACAAACCUAACCCUGUUAACAGUGUGAUGAGUCGGAGGAAGCUGUUCCCUGUUGUGUAACCGCCUGACGUGGCAGACACACACACACAUUUUCUCUUUAUGGAAAAGACAUUACUUGACAAGUUCAAUUAGAGCACACACUGGUGCAGAUAUACAACAAGCAAUUGCAGAUCCUAAAGAGCUUGUUCUUGUUGUAAUUUCACACAUGCAUAUUCUGCUGCUCCAUUAGCUUUGAUAGGCUGAGAGUGGCCAUAGCUCUGCUGCUGCGUCUGCCGGCUUUUUUUCCAGGAAAAAUAAAUGUCCACUGCAUUAAAGUAAAAGAAAAGCAUUAAAGGAAAAAAAAACGACUGGAAAUCAGAGAAGGAAAAGACUUUGGGGAAUGAAGGCAGGAUGAAGCCAGUGACUGUAUAUCUAGAUGGACAGUGGUUGUGUGCCGUCCCCCGUUGGCUUGUAUUGAGCUGAUUUUGAUUUUUUUUUUUUUUUUUUUAGCUUCAAGGCCAUCAUCAUUUUGAACGGAUGAUAUGUAGUUAAACCUGAAAACAGGGAAAGAGGAGGGACCAACCAGUAUGAUGGUGAUGGUUGUUGUGUUACAGGGUUCCAAUUAACAGCAGAACCAACCAGGAACUAUUUACUUUAGUGGAUUCAAUCAGGAAGUCCAAAUAUUGUCU